GACGAACGCUGGCGGCGCGCCUAACACAUGCAAGUCGAACGAGCGAGAGAGAGCUUGCUUUCUUGAGCGAGUGGCGAACGGGUGAGUAACGCGUGAGGAACCUGCCUCAAAGAGGGGGACAACAGUUGGAAACGACUGCUAAUACCGCAUAAGCCCACGACCCGGCAUCGGGUUGAGGGAAAAGGAGCAAUCCGCUUUGAGAUGGCCUCGCGUCCGAUUAGCUAGUUGGUGAGGUAACGGCCCACCAAGGCGACGAUCGGUAGCCGGACUGAGAGGUUGAACGGCCACAUUGGGACUGAGACACGGCCCAGACUCCUACGGGAGGCAGCAGUAGGGAAUAUUGCACGAUGGGGGAAACCCUGAUGCAGCGACGCCGGGUGGAGGAAGAAGGUCUUCGGAUUGUAAACUCCUGUUGUUGAGGAAGAUAAUGACGGUACUCAACAAGGAAGUGACGGCUAACUACGUG
Molecule: ribosomal RNA, 466 nt
Filed under: uncultured bacterium
Lineage: Bacteria
Description: partial 16S ribosomal RNA
Rfam family: Bacterial small subunit ribosomal RNA
Source: RNAcentral